CAUAGUCUCCAACAGCUCUCAGAAGACAGCAACACGUGUGGAACAUGGCAGCCCGUGCAGUUAUGUUGGCAGUCCUGCUCGCGAUGAUGGUGACCGUCGCCGUGGCCGCAGUUGGAGGAGCUCGUGUCGCGAGAGAAGAAUCCCUGGUGACGGCAAACACUUUUGGUUUUGGCUUCGGAGGUUGGCCGUGGGGCGGCUGGCCAUACGGUUUCCCCGGAGCGUUCCCACAUCCAUACUUAGGCUGAGCUACCGUCAGGUGCCUGCAUGACAACGAUUGAAGAUAGUUUUGUAUUUAUCUUGUAAAGUUGUACUCUACAUUAAUCGAUUAAAAAAUUUACCUAUAA
Long non-coding RNA from Schistocerca gregaria, 344 nucleotides. RefSeq lists it as uncharacterized. The transcript is spliced from 3 exons. NCBI's taxonomy places the organism in Eukaryota, Metazoa, Arthropoda, Insecta, Orthoptera, Acrididae. The record is from RefSeq and is a predicted model, not a curated record.